UACGUAGGGUGCAAGCGUUGUCCGGAAUUAUUGGGCGUAAAGAGCUCGUAGGCGGUCUGUCGCGUCGAAUGUGAAAACCCCGGGGCUCAACCCCGGGCCUGCAUUCGAUACGGGCAGACUAGAGUUCGGUAGGGGAGUCUGGAAUUCCUGGUGUAGCGGUGAAAUGCGCAGAUAUCAGGAGGAACACCGGUGGCGAAGGCGGGUCUCUGGGCCGAUAUCGACGCUGAGGAGCGAAAGCGUGGGGAGCGAACAGG
Molecule: ribosomal RNA, 254 nt
Filed under: uncultured bacterium
Lineage: Bacteria
Description: partial 16S ribosomal RNA
Rfam family: Bacterial small subunit ribosomal RNA
Source: RNAcentral